This is a long non-coding RNA of Ricinus communis (castor bean), 4335 nucleotides long. RefSeq lists it as uncharacterized. The transcript is spliced from 3 exons. The record is from RefSeq and is a predicted model, not a curated record. Lineage: Eukaryota; Viridiplantae; Streptophyta; Magnoliopsida; Malpighiales; Euphorbiaceae.
UAUUGAAACAGAUUUUACUUGUUAUUUUAAUCUCUUUCUUUCUUAUCCAUUUAUUUCUUUUCUUCUUUUGCUUAUGCAUUUCUUAUCCAUUUUUCUCCAAAUCUUUUUUUUCCUUUCACUUCUUCAACUUUAUUAGAAUGCCAUCCAGCACCGCCGCUGUCAUCACACCAUCGCCGUUGUUAGUCUCACCACUCCUGUAGCAGCACCUGAUUUUGGCAAAACUGCUCAUUACAACCUCGCCUCUAAAGCUGCCCUCUAUUACUGUCGUCAUUCCACCAUUAACCCUCACAGAAAAACCUAAGUUUAUGUCAAUAAGAUGAACUUUAUACAAGGAACUGAUUUUGAUAUGGGUUUUGAUAUGGAGAUGACGUGUACUUUUUGAUUUUAUGGGUUUUGAUCUUGACAUGAAAAACUUUUUUUAUUUCUACCGGCAUGCUUAUGAAUCAAAUAUAUUUUUUUUUUUCCAUGAGAAAUCAUGACAAUGGGUUUGUAUCUAGUUAGCUAUGGUGUGUAUUUUUUUGUAAUUAAUUUGUUGAAAUAUAUGUAAAGUGCUUGAUGAGCUUGAUAUGAUCAAUGGUGAAGAUGGAAUUGAUGGUAGUGGUUUAGUGAUCAAGAUGGAAGUAAUGAUAGGGGUGUCUAUUAGGAAGAUGGUGGCGAUUGCAGUGGUGUCUAUGGUGAAGACGUUGGCGAUGGGCGCGGUGGUUAAAUGGCAUAUGGUUUUAAUUAUUUAAUUUUUUAAGUUAUUUAUUUUUUUAAAAGGAAAUUAAUAAUAGAAACCAAAAGUUACUAGUUUUGUUAAUGUUAAUAAAUAAGUUUUUUGAAUUUUUGAUCUAUUGAAUGAAUUUUUGAAAAACUAUACUUGCACAGGCGCCACACCUGCAAAUACUUAAGAGUUAAAUGACUUGAAAUAAAAUGUUUUAGGCCUAUUUGCUAGAAAAGAUUGAAUUCGAUUUAUUUGAACUAUGGUGGAAAACUAUUCUCUUUUGGUGGAGACGCUGUGUAUGUUGUGGUGAAAUCAAUGCUAUACAUAAGAUAGAUCCUGAUAGGUUUGGUUACUUUGAUUUGGUUGAUGAGGUUCAGAAGUUAGGUUAUAACAAAUAUGAUAAACUGUGUUAUAGAGUUCCUAAAUUGUGAAUAUGUGAUGGGUUGAGAGAGUCAAAGGAUGAUGCUGGUGUUAUGGAGAUAUUAGACCAUAUAAGGCUAGGGAAUGGUAUAAUUAACUGUUAUAUGGAUGGGGGUAGUUGCUUGAAGGAAGUUGCUUGUGAUGAUAGGAACGAACAAGGAGUGAAGGAAGUGAGUGUGAAUGUGGACAAUGGUCAUGGUGAUCAGAAAGUUGUUGAUGAUUAUGAUGGGCUUAAAGUCAUCUUUGAUGAUGUAGGAGAUGAGGUUAGACCUGCUGAUGCUGAUGAAGAACAUGAGAAGCUGAUACUGAAGAUGGUGAUUACUGUCCCAUGCAGGAAAGUGACCCAGAUGGUGGACCGUCAGAUGAUGAGUUGGCCUCAGAUGAUGAGGAAUAUAUUGAAGCAAGGCAAAAUAAGGUUAAGUUUAGAAGAUAUAUGCCAGCUGAUGAAGUGGCAGAGAGGUUCAAUUUAUAUAGUGGUUUGAGGACUGGAGGAACAAGUGCAAACAAUCAAUCAAAAGAUGCGAUGCAUAGUGAAUUUGCAAAUUCUGAAGGUGAUGUUAAUUCAGACUGCAUCAGUGAUGAAGAUGAAGCUUGCAGUACAAAGAGAAAUAAAAAGGUAACUUAUGACCCUAAGUGUGAUUAAAAGUCUUUACAUUUUCUGCUGGGGAUGAGAUUUGAGAGUCCAGUUCAGUGUAAGCUUGUUGUGUAGAGCUAUGCAAUUAUGAAUGGCAUAAUGUGCAAAUAAUGAGAUGCAAAAGUAUAAAAAUGGAAGCAAGAUUUUACUUGGCUACCAUUGGAGGUCAUAUAGUUCUAUGAUUAGUAAGGAAAAGACUUUUGCCAUCAAGACCUACUUCAGAGAUCACAGAUGUAGUCGAGAGAUGAAGAAUAAACAAGCUAUUGCCUUUUGGGUAGCAUAAGAGUAUAUCCAUAGGUUCAGAAGAAACCCUAACUUGUCCAUGGACUUGAAAGAUGAUGUCUUGGACAAGCACUCAUUUGAAUGGAGUAAUUGGAAAGCAUAUAGAGCUAAGUGGAAAGCUCCUGAGAUGUUAAGGGGAUCUGUGUUGGGCCAUUAUGGAAGUUUAAGAUCUUAAAAAGCUGAGCUUAUGAGAGUUGAUAGGAAUGGGAGAUUUAAGUUCAUGCUUGAAGAAGAUUGUGUUUUUAAAGGUUUCUUUGUGGGUUUCAGUACCUUAACCAGGGGAUUUCUAACAGGUUAUAGGCAUAUUACUAGUUUUGAUGGAUGUUUCCUCAAAAUAUUUUUGGGUCGACCCUUAUUAUGUGCAACUGCUAAGGAUGGAAAUAAUAAGAUGUUCCUAAUAAUGUUGGGCUGUAAUAGAGGCAGAAAAUGAAUUCUAUUAGACAUGGUUUAUAAAACUAGUGAUGGAAGAGCUACACAUGACAUAUGGGUUGGGUUGGUCCUUCAUUAGUGAUCAGCAAAAGGGUCUUAUCAAUGCCAUCCAUAAAUUGGCCCCUUUUGCAGAGCAUAGAAACUGUGCCAGACAUGUUUACUACAACUAGAAGAAAGAGUUCAAAGGACAAGUCCUUAAAAACAUGUCCUGGAAAGGUGUAAGGUGUACAAUUGAAGCCUCCCUGAAACAAGCUUUGAAUGGAUUAAAGGCAGAAAAUGAAGUUUCAUACAGUGACUUCUUUGCCAGAAACCCCAUAAAAUAUUGUAAGGCCCAUGUCUCUGAACUACAAAAAUGUGAUAUGAUAGACAAUAAUGUGAGUGAGACUUUUAAUGGGUAUAUACCUAAGGCUAGAGGCAAACCCUUAAUUGAUAUGCUUGAAGAUAUAAGAUGUGCAUUUACAGAGAAAGAACACACUAAGUUAAUGCAAAUGAGUGACAUCACUGAUCAUAUAUGCCCUAGGAUUAGAGACAAGCUAGAACAAAAUAGAUAUAACAGUAGAUUGUGUGUGACUAAGCCUGCAGUAGGUUAGAAUUUUUAAGUUUCAAAUAGAAAUAAUUGCUUUGUUGUUGACUUGAAUGCAUGGACAUGUAGUUGUAGGGCCUGAAAUAUUACUGGAAUACCAUGCAUGCAUACUUGCUCCAGUAUUCACUUUAUGAAAAAAGAUUGCACAAACUUUAUGGACUCUUAUUAUAGUGUAUAAAGGUAUAUAGACACAUAUUAGCAUGGUCUACAACCACUUAAUGGUAAAAAGAUAUGGCUUGAAGCUGCUGGCAAUCCAAUUAAGCCUCAUCCUCAUAAGAAGAUGCCAGGGAGACUAAAAAAUAAGAAAAGGGCACUUGAGGAAGAGCCGAAGAAUCUAAACAAGCUGUCAAGAAAUGGAAUUGAAAUGACAUGCCAGAGGUGUUUCAAGACUGGGCAUAACAAACACAGUUGUGUGAAUCCAAUGAUUGAAAGGCCACCAAAGGGUAAAAGAGGUAGACCUGUAAAGAAGCCAACAUAAAUUUCACCACCAAUAUGAGAAUCCUCAGCACCCAAAACUAUGCCAGAACUCAACCAAAGAAAGAAAUAUGUCAAGCAUAAGACCACUGGGUAGAAGAGCCAACAAUUAAAAGAACUAUCCAAGAAUCCUGUCGAGUCAUCUUCAGCACAAUCAAGUCAAUUAACUGCAUCUAAACAUUAUCAUAGAGAAAGGGCUAUGUUAACUUUAAUGUCAAUUGUACAAUUGUGUUCGUUUAUUAUUAAUGUUUGUUAAUUCUUCUAAGUAUGAGACUGUUUAUUUUAUUGCCAAACCAAGCAGGGAUAUGGUGUUAGAAUCUUUGAAGAAUUCGGAAACAUGUUUAUAAGGAUGCCUGGUCAAACUAAUGUGAAGUAUGUUCAUAAUGCUAGAGAAGCAGCAAAGGCAGCUUCUGCUAUGACAACUGUUGUUGCCAGCUCUACACCUUAAUAUGCCAGACUUACAGCUCAUUCUCAAGCCACAUUCCCUGCUGUUAGAAUGGAAGAGUUGCAAGAGGAAGAGGGAAUUCUAGGCGAGGGAGAACUGAAAAUGCUUCGCAGACUUCUACAAACUAUUCAAUUGGAGUUCCCAACAUAAUUGGAAGUCAAGAGAGUUAAGCUACUUAGAUUCAUUUAGGUCAUUUGUAUGUAAACCAGUUUUUUGUCACAUUCACUUCUCAAACUUUGUAUGUGAACAUAUAAUAGGCACAUAACGUGUUUUGUCAAUCUUUUAUCAAUGUUGUGUAUAUGAACAAGGUAUAUCAUUUAUGCCAAUGCACAGUUCUAAAUCUUUACAAAGAAUUUUUUUGCUAA